UCUUUUAUUGGUGGUCUUUUCAACUUCCUAACUUUAAUCUAUAUGGGCAGGCUCUUUACUUUUUUAGCUUUUAUACAAGGAUAUUAUAUUUUUUACAUAGUUUUUGCCUCUGUUAAUUUGCUGCUGAUAUUUCAAUAAUUUUCUUGAUAGGUGUUCUUCUAAGCUUGUCAGUUCCUGUUUUGUAUGACAAGUUCCAGGACCAAAUCGAUGCUAAGCUGUACAUGAUAAAUGGAAUUAUUGAGCCAUAUUAUAGAAGGAUUUCAAGCAAGAUUCCAAAACUGUGAAAUAAAAGAAGGUGCAGUAGGAUGCACAUGGACAAGCGAAGUCGAUUUAGGGGUAUAUAAAUGAGUGCUUAACAUAUGAAGUACUUGAGGUUGGAGCACGGGGUUUACAAUAUCUCAAGGAUGAGGGAGUCAGCAGCAAAUAGAUACAAAGUCUUUCGGAUUCCAGUUCAUUGGAUGCUUGAUAGUGGCUUUGUGACUCAGAGUUCGUGCCCUGGGAUGAUUCCGUCGGCCGUGAAUGACAUUGUUGCUGGUCUAAAAGGAUUCAGAGAUGAUGAUGUGAAGCCAUUUUAAUUUCUUCUUGUUUGAAUGCAGUUGAGACUCAGGUUUGUUUGUAGAUAGAAAUAAUUUAAUUCUUUUUCUUGUUAAUGUAAGAAUAUAUACAAGUAACUUAGCAAGGUAGUGAACCUAAAUCUAACGCCAUUGACAUGAAUACAUGAUUUAAUUGCAUUGAUAUUGAUUAGAACGAAAGUAGAGGAUUUUCUUCUCUCUAUUUUUCAUACAAACAGUUUUUAACUAAUGAAAUUUCUUAGG
Arachis ipaensis is the source of this 815-nucleotide non-coding RNA. The record is from RefSeq and is a predicted model, not a curated record. Lineage: Eukaryota; Viridiplantae; Streptophyta; Magnoliopsida; Fabales; Fabaceae.